Non-coding RNA from Pogona vitticeps (central bearded dragon), 876 nucleotides. NCBI's taxonomy places the organism in Eukaryota, Metazoa, Chordata, Lepidosauria, Squamata, Agamidae. The record is from RefSeq and is a predicted model, not a curated record.
CUGCAAUGCCCCCUACAUGGGGCUGUGAAGAGUCUCUGGAAAUGAGAGUUACCUAGCUACUGCAAGCAAGAAUUCUGGACCACAACCACCCAUCCUAUAAAAGGAAAGAUGCAGGGAAAGAAGAAGACACAUUUUUAUAUAUGGGGUCCUACAAAAAGGAACAGCACAACAGAAAGGCAAGACUAGAGCUGAUCCAUCACUGUCAACAGCUUUCAGCAAGAUCAGCACUUUUGGGGGGGGGGGUUGUUAUUGGGGCCUGGCCCAUCAGCAGCUCUUCCAAACAGUAAAUGCACUGCAGGCAAGUCUCUCUCUCCUCCUGAGAAGUAUUCUGGCAAUCUAAAGGAUCAGCACCCAGAGUGGAAGUACCACUGACCAGCGGCUUCUUGAUAAAUUACUCAGUGGAGCAUUGCCAUUCUUGACAAUACCUGGAGGAGAGGCUGAAUCUAGUUUUGGAACCAACGGCAUAGCUAGAUAGUUCUGCUGUUGGAGUUACAGAAAUGUGAUGUUAAAGGGCUCUCUCUUCUCCAGACCCAUCUAGGCAUCUCUCUCCUCUAGCCUCUUGGAGUAAUGCAAAUGAGGCGGGGGGGGGAGCAAGAGCAGAGAGCAGUUGGACUGACAGGUUAAUGAAGCAGUGCCUAAUCGUGAUGUAUAUUAUAACUACAAAAGGAGCUUGUAAAUACUCAGGUUGCCUUAUACACAUAAACACAAGCAAACAUACAUAUGAAUGCUCUUAUUCACCGCUCUGCACAUUCAAGCAGACUCUAGUAUGCUCAAAAUGGACUACCAAUGGUGUGCAACAAUAAACAAGACAGGUACAACAAGCAAAAGUCAAAGCAACUGUUGCAACUGGUAAUUUUGAGGCAAAAAAUAAAAAUA